AUUAUUUCUUGGCUCUUCGACUAAGCUCAAGUGAUAUAUCUGUUCUAAUUGGUUUAAUAUCUGAUACAUCUUCUAUUUGAGGACAAGAUAGUAAAUGGAUUUCUGGAGCAGAGAAAUGGAAUAGGUUCUCAUUCCAUCCACUCCAGCAUCAACCUAGUAUUGCAGCACCCCUC
Molecule: small nuclear RNA, 173 nt
Filed under: Castor canadensis (American beaver)
Lineage: Eukaryota; Metazoa; Chordata; Mammalia; Rodentia; Castoridae
Description: U2 spliceosomal RNA (ENSCCNG00000011202.1)
Rfam family: U2 spliceosomal RNA
About the family: U2 is a small nuclear RNA (snRNA) component of the spliceosome (involved in pre-mRNA splicing).
Source: RNAcentral